AGGACGAACGCUGGCGGCGUGCUUAACACAUGCAAGUCGAGCGGUAAGGCCUUUCGGGGGUACACGAGCGGCGAACGGGUGAGUAACACGUGGGUGAUCUGCCCUGCACUUCGGGAUAAGCCUGGGAAACUGGGUCUAAUACCGGAUAUGACCUCCUAUCGCAUGGUGGGUGGUGGAAAGAUUUAUCGGUGCAGGAUGGGCCCGCGGCCUAUCAGCUUGUUGGUGGGGUAAUGGCCUACCAAGGCGACGACGGGUAGCCGACCUGAGAGGGUGACCGGCCACACUGGGACUGAGACACGGCCCAGACUCCUACGGGAGCAGCAGUGGGAAUAUUGCACAAUGGGCGAAAGCCUGAUGCAGCGACGCCGCGUGAGGAUGACGGCCUUCGGGUUGUAACCUCUUUCAGUCGAGGACGAAGCGUCAAGUGACGUACGUGACGGAAGAAGACCACCGG
This 454-nucleotide ribosomal RNA is filed under the name uncultured soil bacterium. RNAcentral's name for it is "bacterial SSU rRNA". It matches the Rfam family "Bacterial small subunit ribosomal RNA", at positions 26 to 496 of the family's 1533-position model. The record is from RNAcentral.